CCAAACACAAUAUAUACUAUACUAAUAACAUAAUACACCAUAUAAAAUAUAUUCUACAAUAUACUAAUGACUACUAUACAAAGAUAUUGAUUUAAAAAAAAUAAAAAAAUUCAGAACCGCCGGGAAUCGUCGGAACCGGAACCGGAACCGGAUGGUACCCGGAACCGUAUGGUAGCGGUUCCGGCUCCGGAACCAUCAGAACCGGAACCGCCGGAACCGGAACCGUCAGAAUCGGAAUCGCAAACCCAAAUAAACCCAAAAACAAAACCGAAUACAGCCUUAGGUGAAUCUGGAUUAAAAAUCUGCUUUCCUUAAAAAAGUUUUUACCCCCAAAGAAAAGACCACGAUUGCAUAAUGUGGUAGCUGAAGAAGAAAAGCCUUUUGGCCAUAUGCUGAAUUAAUGUUCUAGCAAUCCCUACUUUAAUUUUUUU
This 431-nucleotide long non-coding RNA is filed under the name Nicotiana benthamiana. RNAcentral's name for it is "long non-coding RNA (NBEN_LNC025386)". The record is from RNAcentral. Lineage: Eukaryota; Viridiplantae; Streptophyta; Magnoliopsida; Solanales; Solanaceae.